CAGCCGCCACGGUAAUACGUAGGGUGCAAGCGUUAAUCGGAAUUACUGGGCGUAAAGCGUGCGCAGGCGGUUAUAUAAGACAGAUGUGAAAUCCCCGGGCUCAACCUGGGAACUGCAUUUGUGACUGUAUAGCUAGAGUACGGCAGAGGGGGAUGGAAUUCCGCGUGUAGCAGUGAAAUGCGUAGAUAUGCGGAGGAACACCGAUGGCGAAGGCAAUCCCCUGGGCCUGUACUGACGCUUAUGCACGAAAGCGUGGGGAGCAAACAGGAUUAGAUACCCGAGUAGUCCCUGUCUCUUAUAC
Molecule: ribosomal RNA, 301 nt
Filed under: uncultured bacterium
Lineage: Bacteria
Description: partial 16S ribosomal RNA
Rfam family: Bacterial small subunit ribosomal RNA
Source: RNAcentral